CAGCUGGUAGUUUAAGAUUAAAAUUUUAAUUUUGGAUAUUAGAGAUACAUAGUUGUUUAGCUGA
Molecule: transfer RNA, 64 nt
Filed under: Cemus sauteri
Lineage: Eukaryota; Metazoa; Arthropoda; Insecta; Hemiptera; Delphacidae
Description: tRNA-Pro
Source: RNAcentral